RNAcentral lists this ribosomal RNA (616 nucleotides) under uncultured bacterium. RNAcentral's name for it is "bacterial SSU rRNA". It matches the Rfam family "Bacterial small subunit ribosomal RNA", at positions 55 to 648 of the family's 1533-position model. The record is from RNAcentral.
AUGCAAGUCGAGCGGAAAUUUUAUUGGUGCUUGCACCUUUAAAAUUUUAGCGGCGGACGGGUGAGUAACACGUGGGUAACCUACCUUAUAGAUUGGGAUAACUCCGGGAAACCGGGGCUAAUACCGAAUAAUACUUUUUAACACAUGUUUGAAAGUUGAAAGACGGUUUCGGCUGUCACUAUAAGAUGGACCCGCGGCGCAUUAGCUAGUUGGUGAGGUAACGGCUCACCAAGGCAACGAUGCGUAGCCGACCUGAGAGGGUGAUCGGCCACACUGGGACUGAGACACGGCCCAGACUCCUACGGGAGGCAGCAGUAGGGAAUCUUCCACAAUGGACGAAAGUCUGAUGGAGCAACGCCGCGUGAGUGAAGAAGGAUUUCGGUUCGUAGAACUCUGUUGCAAGGGAAGAACAAGUAGCGUAGUAACUGGCGCUACCUUGACGGUACCUUGUUAGAAAGCCACGGCUAACUACGUGCCAGCAGCCGCGGUAAUACGUAGGUGGCAAGCGUUGUCCGGAAUUAUAGGGCGUAAAGCGCGCGCAGGUGGUUCCUUAAGUCUGAUGUGAAAGCCCCCGGCUCAACCGGGGAGGGUCAUUGGAAACUGGGGAACUUGAGUG